GAAUGGCAUCACGAGGGUUGAACUGUCUCCUUUCUCUAAUCAGUGAAACUAAUUUUCCCGUGAAGAAGCGGGAAUAAUUCUAUAAGACGAGAAGACCCUAUGGAGCUUUAAAUACAUAACACUUGCUAUUACCUAUAAUCUCCCGAUAUUCAAUCUUUAUCCAAGCAUNAUGAUUAUUAAUUUUAGGUUGGGGCGACCACGGAGCAAAAAUUAACCUCCACAUUGUAAAAAUUUUUUUAAGCAAAAAGUUACAACUUUAAGCAUCAAUAAAUUGACAUUUAUUGACCCAAUAUUUUGAUCAACGAACCAAGUUACCCUAGGGAUAACAGCGCAAUCCACUUUGAGAGCUCUUAUCGACAAGUGG
Molecule: ribosomal RNA, 364 nt
Filed under: Hylodes asper (warty tree toad)
Lineage: Eukaryota; Metazoa; Chordata; Amphibia; Anura; Hylodidae
Description: partial 16S ribosomal RNA
Rfam family: Bacterial large subunit ribosomal RNA
Source: RNAcentral